GCAGGUACCAUAUCAGGAUGGGCGAGCUGUCUUCAGCUAAGCAAAUUAACCUGUUGAGAAACAAAAGAGAAUGCAAGUUAACAGGUUCUGAUUUUGCCUAUGAAAAUGAGCUUCAGAUGUGAGGUUGCGAUCUAUGUAAAUUAAAUGUAACCCUUCAGUAUCAGAAGAUAAUUCCACUUGGGCCACAUAAGGACAAAAAAACGUGCUAACGGUCCAUGCUGCAACACCAGAUUAAGAGUGUCAGCUUCCUUCCUGUUCCUCUGAAACAGCUGGUGCUGGCCUCCGCCUUUCACUGAAUGGUGGCCCAGGUGGGCCAGAGCUGCGAUGCAGGCUGUGAGAGGAUGCAGAGAGAGAGGGUAAGGGGUACUUGUGGAAGAAAGGGUGAGGGGAGCUUAUGUCCCUAAAACAGCUUUCUGAACAUGUGUGGGUCAAGCCCCUUGCCAUUCCUGGAGUAAGAAAAAAAGAUCCACCAAGAGGUACAGGGAGGGACUGAAUUUUUUUAAGCCCCCGUAGACAGAGGGCAAGUGAGGGUUAUGUGCAGUGCUCCAGUUUUCUUUGCUCUGAGGAGGCCAAGAAAUAGGAAUGAUAACAUUCAUUUUUCCUCGUUAUCAUCUUUUGUCUUUCUGUGCAAAACGUUAGAUAAAGUUUGAGCCAUAACAAUGGAGAAAGAGCUAUUCCAAAUAUUCCUCAUGUGGGUGCUAGAUGGCGCCAUAGAUUAAUGCUCCAGGCCUUUAUCUAGGGAUGUUCUGGGGCCAACUCAGCAUGGUCAGGUAACAACUUAGCAAUUAGUUUGCUUGUGGGAAAUUGGAUCAACAAAGAUAUUCAGAUUCUUAAAUCCUCCUCGUUUCCUAGACUACGCUGGACAUCUUCGAGGACUCAGAAGUCUAGCUGGAGCCAUGCCACAAUAAAUGGGGCCACAGCCUUCAGUGGACACCAGUACCUGCUGCACCAGGAGCCUCUCACUUACUCUGAUUGUUAGACUCUAAAAAGCUAGGUGACUCAAACAACAGAAGUCAUUCACUUGCCUUCACAUAUCCAAGUGGAGAAAAGUACAGCUGCUGGAAGUGCACCAUGCUGAAACAGUGCUCACAGAUGUGAGACCAGCAGCAGCGGCAGAAAGGCUUUGUCAACACCAGCAAAUCACUGUUUCUACCUCUGCAAGGUCAGCUGCUGAAGGCAACGUGUUCAAGACCACAGCUCCACAACCGGUGAGGAACAUUAAUUGUCAGGAAACACUUAGAAAUGACACAGUGUUAGUUAGGCAAAAAAUGUUCUCAUGACAGAGCCAAUGUCUGAAUUUAAGGCCAGCCUUGCAUCUAUAGGGUGAAUAGUUUGUGAGUAACUUCAGUGGGGUUAGGAUGAAGCCCAGGAGUUUCUUACUCAUUACUUGCUGGGUUAAUGACACGAUGAACAUCUGCAGAACAUGUUCCUGUGUCAUCACUGUAUUUCCUGAAUUUGUCCUCUAGUAUUUUGGAAGAAUUUAUCCUUUGGAAAAGCUUUAUAUAACAAAUUGAAAAGCAUUGUCUGCAGUUAUUUAGAAAUAGUGUGAAUAAAGAUAGGACCAAAUUUGUAAAAAAUGGUUUG
Molecule: long non-coding RNA, 1584 nt
Filed under: Anas platyrhynchos platyrhynchos (common mallard)
Lineage: Eukaryota; Metazoa; Chordata; Aves; Anseriformes; Anatidae
Description: lncRNA (ENSAPLG00000023043.1)
Source: RNAcentral